GGUUAAGCGACUAAGCGUACACGGUGGAUGCCCUGGCAGUCAGAGGCGAUGAAGGGCGUGCUAAUCUGCGAUAAGCGCCGGUAAGGUGAUAUGAACCGUUAUAACCGGCGAUACCCGAAUGGGGAAACCCAGUGUGACUCGUCACACUAUCAUUAACUGAAUCCAUAGGUUAAUGAGGCGAACCGGGGGAACUGAAACAUCUAAGUACCCCGAGGAAAAGAAAUCAACCGAGAUUCCCCCAGUAGCGGCGAGCGAACGGGGAGGAGCCCAGAGCCUGAAUCAGCAUGUGUGUUAGUGGAAGCGUCUGGAAAGGCGCGCGAUACAGGGUGACAGCCCCGUACACAAAAGCGCAUGUGCUGUGAGCUCGAUGAGUAGGGCGGGACACGUGAUAUCCUGUCUGAAUAUGGGGGGACCAUCCUCCAAGGCUAAAUACUCCUGACUGACCGAUAGUGAACCAGUACCGUGAGGGAAAGGCGAAAAGAACCCCGGCGAGGGGAGUGAAAAAGAACCUGAAACCGUGUACGUACAAGCAGUGGGAGCACCCUUUUGGGUGUGACUGCGUACCUUUUGUAUAAUGGGUCAGCGACUUAUAUUCUGUAGCAAGGUUAACCGAAUAGGGGAGCCGGAGGGAAACCGAGUCUUAACCGGGCGUUAAGUUGCAGGGUAUAGACCCGAAACCCGGUGAUCUAGCCAUGGGCAGGUUGAAGGUUGGGUAACACUAACUGGAGGACCGAACCGACUAAUGUUGAAAAAUUAGCGGAUGACCUGUGGCUGGGGGUGAAAGGCCAAUCAAACCGGGAGAUAGCUGGUUCUCCCCGAAAGCUAUUUAGGUAGCGCCUCGUGAAUUCAUCUCCGGGGGUAGAGCACUGUUUCGGCUAGGGGGCCAUCCCGGCUUACCAACCCGAUGCAAACUGCGAAUACCGGAGAAUGUUAUCACGGGAGACACACGGCGGGUGCUAACGUCCGUCGUGAAGAGGGAAACAACCCAGACCGCCAGCUAAGGUCCCAAAGUCAUGGUUAAGUGGGAAACGAUGUGGGAAGGCCCAGACAGCCAGGAUGUUGGCUUAGAAGCAGCCAUCAUUUAAAGAAAGCGUAAUAGCUCACUGGUCGAGUCGGCCUGCGCGGAAGAUGUAACGGGGCUAAACCAUGCACCGAAGCUGCGGCAGCGAACGUAUCACUUAAAGCGAUUCAGCGGGUUACGAUUGACGGAGCGAAGCGACGUCAAAGCGUAUACAAAGUCGAGUCGGUUUA
This 1251-nucleotide ribosomal RNA is filed under the name Salmonella enterica. RNAcentral describes it as "partial 23S ribosomal RNA". It matches the Rfam family "Bacterial large subunit ribosomal RNA", at positions 1 to 1274 of the family's 2925-position model. Lineage: Bacteria; Pseudomonadati; Pseudomonadota; Gammaproteobacteria; Enterobacterales; Enterobacteriaceae. The record is from RNAcentral.